RNAcentral lists this non-coding RNA (453 nucleotides) under Ceraceosorus bombacis. Its description in RNAcentral is "Bacterial small subunit ribosomal RNA". It matches the Rfam family "Bacterial small subunit ribosomal RNA", at positions 1095 to 1533 of the family's 1533-position model. Lineage: Eukaryota; Fungi; Basidiomycota; Exobasidiomycetes; Ceraceosorales; Ceraceosoraceae. The record is from Rfam by way of RNAcentral.
AACGUAACCCCGAGUACGUAUUGAUACUAUGUACUGUGAUGCUAAUAAAGCACACCAUAGUUGGGCGAAAGAUAAGUCCUCAUGAUCCUAAUGGAGUAUGGGCUACAGAUGUGCUACGUAUACUUAACAAUGUGAUGCUAUGACCCUUAGUCAGCGCUAACCAUUAAACAAAGUAAAAGGGAAUUUACCCUAUCAUAAGAGGAUCGUGGUCUGUAACUCGAUCACGUGAAUAAGGAAUUCCGAGUAAUCGCAGAUUAGUACGCUGCGGUGAACCUAUACUUUAGGGAGGUACUAACUGUCCAUCAUGCAGUGGCCAUUUUGAACACAUUAAUAACUACUAAUAGGUAAUAUCUAUAUAGAUACUAUCAUAAUAUAGUUAGAAUGCUUAGGAGUUGCCUCUGUAAAGUUGUAGCAGGUUGCUGUAAGGGAACUUGUAGCUGUUAUAUAACUAUU